RNAcentral lists this long non-coding RNA (647 nucleotides) under Manihot esculenta (cassava). RNAcentral's name for it is "long non-coding RNA (MESC_LNC003927)". The record is from RNAcentral. Lineage: Eukaryota; Viridiplantae; Streptophyta; Magnoliopsida; Malpighiales; Euphorbiaceae.
GAAGGAAAGAAAUGGUUCCGCGUCUAGACACCACUCCUGGGCUACCCUCUCACUCCUGAACAGAAGGGAACCCUGACAGCGCGUCUGGGAACAUCUAGUACUUCCUAGGAACGGGCACUGAGGCUGAUUCCCUGUCCUGACUACUGAACUUGCUCACAAGAGCUAGAACCCUUUGACAACCUUUCCUGAGCAAAAGAUGAGCCUACGGGACUGAUAUCACACCUCUGAGCAUCUAUCCUCUGUCCCUCCAAAGGACUACCAGUCUGAUCCAUCCUGCGUUACUGCACUCUCCUACCUUGUCUCUGUGGACACAGGUAGUACUCUGAGUAGGUAGCCAAUCCGCCCUAGAAUGACAGCACACAGUCAAAUCUAGAACCAUAAGGUCAGCUGGAUCGCAUCUACUCACCCCAAUCUCUGAACUGCACUGACUCUGUCUCAGAUGGAUCACACUUAGGGCCACUGACCCAAGAAAAACACUCUAAGCCCAGACGUCAUCAAAUCCCCUCUAUCAAUGGCUCACUACGCAACAAGGAAAGCGAAACACUGGGGUUUACACAAACUGUAUACACAUCCGAGCACUUCUAAGUGAACGUAUCUCACGUCACGUGCUCAAUGUGUUAGCCUGUACUAUGUCAAGGUGAAGAUCC